CUGUAGGCUGCAACUCGCCUCACGAAGUCGGAAUCGCUAGUAAUCGCGGAUCAGCAUGCCGCGGUGAAUACGUUCCCGGGCCUUGUACACACCGCCCGUCACACCAUGGGAGUUGUAACGCCCAAAGUCGGUGGCCUAACCUUUAUGGAGGGAGCCGCCUAAGGCGGGACAGAUGACUGGGGUGAAGUCGUAACAAGGUAUC
This 202-nucleotide ribosomal RNA is filed under the name uncultured bacterium. Its description in RNAcentral is "partial 16S ribosomal RNA". It matches the Rfam family "Bacterial small subunit ribosomal RNA", at positions 1298 to 1500 of the family's 1533-position model. The record is from RNAcentral.